RNAcentral lists this ribosomal RNA (446 nucleotides) under uncultured prokaryote. RNAcentral describes it as "bacterial SSU rRNA". It matches the Rfam family "Bacterial small subunit ribosomal RNA", at positions 355 to 796 of the family's 1533-position model. The record is from RNAcentral.
UCGAGAAUCUUCGGCAAUGCGCGCAAGCGUGACCGAGCGACGCCGCGUGCGGGAUGAAGGCCUUCGGGUUGUAAACCGCUGUCAGAGGUUAGGAAAUCCUUGAGGGUUAUCCCUCUUGGUUGACCGACCCUCAGAGGAAGCACGGGCUAAGUUCGUGCCAGCAGCCGCGGUAACACGAACCGUGCGAACGUUAUUCGGAAUCACUGGGCUUAAAGAGUGCGUAGGCGGCCUGGAAGGUGAGGUGUGAAAGCCCUCGGCUCAACCGAGGAAUUGCGCUUCAAACCACUAGGCUUGAGGGAGACAGAGGUGAGCGGAACUGAUGGUGGAGCGGUGAAAUGCGUUGAUAUCAUCAGGAACACCGGUGGCGAAAGCGGCUCACUGGGUCUCUUCUGACGCUGAGGCACGAAAGCUAGGGUAGCGAACGGGAUUAGAUACCCCCGUAGUCC